GGACUUAGUUAUCGGUGGGGGCGUGGUGUUUUGGUCCGCUCUAAAGAGGAUUGAUGUCCUUGAGCCGCCUCGGGUCUGCCGGCGUAUGAACUUGAGUCGAGGGGAGGAGGAGGGCCUAAGCGGUUAGACUCUGGCUGAGUUGGAGGAGACAUGAGUCCAGGGAGGACGGAGAGCGAAGAUGUGCACAGAUUCCAUAAUACCUGUCCCGUCAGCCAGCAUGUGAUUGCUUUAGAGAUUAGAAAACGGCUUUGGAAUGAUGAAGAUGAGCCCUGCGACUUUUGCUCCAACUAGCGAGAAAGAAGUGCUGGGACCCCACCAGGAGAGUCGAGCUGUAGGAACUUGGAAUGGUGCCUCCACCUCUGCCCACAGACACAACAGUGGUCUGAAAAGUAAGCUUAGCUAUCUUCAAAUAUCCUCCGUUCAUUUCUUCCCUAGACUUAGAAUAUUUAGCUGUACACCUGCCUGCUCCUCUAAAGAGGUAUCUCCCAUUUCCUUUGCCCCCAGAUGGUAGAGUUCUACAGAGUGUUGGCAUCUGGGAAGAACAAGGAAGUGACGUGUGCCAUUUUGGGCUGCCACACUUAAAAGAGGUCCAAUCCCUUUUUCUGCCUCCCGUCCCUUCCAUGGUGCACGGCUGUAGAAGUGGUAGGGAAUCAGGUUACGACACUGCCACUGGGGCCACGUAGCCAGACACACGUUAGAAAGCUCAUCCAGGAAUGGUGUGUGUGACAGUAACCCCGCCACCUGAGAGGAGAGGACAGGAAGAUCGGGAGUUCAGUGCCAGCCUGGGCUACAUGAGACCCUGUCUUGAGAGAAGGAGGAAGACCGGAGAGAUAGAUUAGUGGUUAAGAGCGCUGCGAAUAGGAAUGCCCCUAUAAUUAUAUAGAUUCGAACGCUUGGUCACGGGCAGUGGCACCGUUAGGAGGUGUGACCUUGUUGGAGGAAGUGUGUCACUGAGGGUGGGCUUUGAGGGUUCAAAUGUUCAAGCCAGGGUCCGUGGCUCACCCUCUCUCCCUGCCGCCUGCCAAUCCAGACGUAGGGCUCUCAGCUCCUUCUCCAGCACCGUGUCUGCCUGCACUCGGCCACGCUCCCCACCGUGAUGAUAAUGGACUGUAAGCCAGGCCCAAUUAAAUGUUUUCUGUAGGGAGAGAUCUUAUUAGGUACCUGUGGCGCCGACCACGCCCAUUUUGGGCGUGGCCACAGGUGCAUUUGUGGUGGGACUUAGACCUGAAGAUAGGCAGGCCACUCUCUCUUGGGGUUCCGGUCAGGUCUCAGAGCUGAUACGGCAUCCUCUGAGCUAUCGUUUCUCAUGUAAGUGAUUUUUCUCUUCAAUAAAAUUAACUUACUUCGCCCCA
Molecule: long non-coding RNA, 1352 nt
Organism: Mesocricetus auratus (golden hamster)
Lineage: Eukaryota; Metazoa; Chordata; Mammalia; Rodentia; Cricetidae
Exons: 2
Source: RefSeq, a predicted model, not a curated record